CCUACGGGUGGCAGCAGUGAGGAAUAUUGGUCAAUGGGCGGGAGCCUGAACCAGCCAAGCCGCGUGAAGGAAGAAGGCACCACGUAUCGUAAACUUCUUUUGUCGGGGAACAAAGGGCGCCACUAGUCCCCGGAUGAGGGUACCUGAAGAAAAAGCAUCGGCUAACUCCGUGCCAGCAGCCGCGGUAAUACGGAGGAUGCGAGCGUUAUCCGGAUUUAUUGGGUUUAAAGGGUGCGUAGGCGGCCUGUUAAGUCAGCGGUAAAAGCCCGGGGCUCAACCCCGGCGAGCCGUUGAAACUGGCGGACUAGAGAUGGAGAGAAGUACGCGGAAUGCGCGGUGUAGCGGUGAAAUGCUUAGAUAUCGCGCAGAACCCCGAUUGCGAAGGCAGCGUACCGGCGCCACACUGACGCUGAGGCACGAAAGCGUGGGUAUCGAACAGGAGUAGAUACCCUAGUAGUC
This 459-nucleotide ribosomal RNA is filed under the name uncultured bacterium. RNAcentral describes it as "partial 16S ribosomal RNA". It matches the Rfam family "Bacterial small subunit ribosomal RNA", at positions 338 to 795 of the family's 1533-position model. The record is from RNAcentral.